UUGUAUGUUUAAUUGUUUAUAUUUAUUCCUCUCCCUUCUAGUGUUCUACGACACAUUAUGAUGUACUGGUCACUUCGAUCAGCAUGACGUACUGGUAUUAAUUAACGACCAAUAACCUCUUGACGCAUGUCCUUGUUGCAGCUUCGUGUGUCAGGCAUAAUAAGCAAUUCUCCAUACAUGUUGGUCUUAGAUUGUGAUAUGAAUUGCAGUGACCCAACCUCUGCUAGACAAGCUAUGUGUUUCCACAUUGAUCCUGACAUCUCUCCCUCGUUGGCUUUUGUUCAAUUUCCUCAACUGUUCCAUAAUCUCAGUAAGAAUGACAUCUAUAAUGAUCUAUUGAGAACCGGAUGUGAGGUAUAUCUACGUUAAACGAGUCUUGUAUAGCUAAUUAACGUCUCAGAGUCGGGAUAAUCUAGGUUAUUAAAACUGUUCUGAUUAUAUUUGCAAUCGGACGUCGUUAUAUUUCAGGUGCAGUGGUAUGGUCUGGAUGGCCUACGGGGGCCACUUUUAUCUGGCACUGGCUUUUAUACGAAGAGAGAAGCUUUGUUUAGAAGUCCUACACAAAAAGGUUUAGCAAAAAACUUAGGGACGGGUUCCUUCUUCUACUGACUUAUGUAAAGUGUUUUUUUUUUUUUUUUUUUUGAUAAUUAAGUUUAACACCUUAUUAAAAUUAAAACUGUCAGAAACAAGUUACAAGAAGUUAACAUGGACAGUGAGAGAGACACUCACUCUCCUUGCAGGCCUAAUCAACUCUUUAUUGUGCAGAUCUAAGUCACAUUAGGAAUAGGCAAGAUGUCGGUUGUUCAAAUGACUUCAUCACAUCACUUCAUCCUGAUAACAAAGUUAAAGCAAUUAGCAAUAAUCAACAUGUAUCAAGCAGAUUGCUUGAAGAGGCCAGACUUCUGGCUUCUUGCACAUACGAGUAACAAACACAAUGGGGUGAACAGGUAAGUUAAUUUCCAAAUGAAUAAACAAACCAUCUCAUGUCAUUAUGACCCUAUCAGUAUUGUUCCAUCAAAAUUUUUAUAAGAAUGAGAAGUACGGACAAACUGAUUUAAGCUACAAGAUAAUAUUCAGCUCUCAUAUUAAAAAUGUGUUAGUAUCAUAAUAACUGAGCUGCAUAAGUGCUUCAGCUUAGGAUCUACAUAAAAAAUACGAAAUUCCAUCAGUAAUUACUUACUCUUUACCUAGUGUCUUACCUCUCUUUCUUUCUUAAUGGCGUUUUCUGAAAUAUCCAGACCUACAACAUAACGUUCAGGGCCAACAAUUGCAAUCACAUGAUGAUCUUGUUGGCUAUAAUAAGUAAGUACAAUAUAACGUGCAAACUAAUAAAACAUAAAAAUUAAACAAGUUUGUUGAACAGUUUUAAUUAGAGACCAAAUGUUGUUACAUGCGUGAAAACGCCACUUUCACUUAUAAAUGACCAUUGCAUCAAAAUGUCAUGUCAUCAGAUAAAAUUUUAACAUUUUGGAACAUGUACUCACAUGCUGAAACAAUAACAAACAUGUAAACACUUACAGUGUCACAUACUGGGAUUAGAACCCUGCCUUUUGGAAGAGGAAGAGCAGCUGGUUUGUAGAAGAUUUAAAAUAACAGGUGUUGGUCCUCGCAAAUCCCCAUAGUGUUCAGUGCUUUUUCCUAGCAUUAUUUGUCCCAGGCACCUAGUCAUUCAAACUUAAACAAAAUUCAGAAAUUCAAUAGUUGUAAUGGACAGAACGACUUAGAAAUUAAACACAAGUUUUCCUUUGAGCUUCCAAUGUAGUCAAUUAUGUUGAUGUAAAAAUCCAUUAAGGCCAUUAUGCUAUGCUUCUUGAAGCAGAUUUACAAACAUUCUACAAAUAAGUCAAAGUGUUGCAAGGUUUCUGUUACAUGUUCGAUAAUCUAAUUCUCACUGGUAUGAUUAUGUAUUCACAUUAUCACUUCAAAUUUUCAUCAUCAUCAUCAUCAUCAUCAUCAUACUCAAAUUAUCACAAAUAAGAUAUUGAAUUCCAUGGAAAUUGAAGAAUAUACAAUUAAAUUAAACAACAAUAAAAAGAAGAGUAGAGAUGAGAUGAGAUGAGAUAGUAAGGAGAGAGUGUCAGACCUGUUGAAUCAUUGUUAACGAAUUGGUUCAAGUUAGGUAGAUUUUAGUUGUUGUUGUUGUUCGAAAUCUUCUCUUGAUCUCUUCUCUUUCACUUUGUUUCCUCAUGCUCCUUCGUUCCAACCUAUUGCAAGUUGCAACAACAAAGAUUUUUCACUCUUGUUGUUGUUAAAUGUAAAUGAAGGAAACUGCAAUUGGAUUUGGAGAGCGAACGAACAAGAUUACAAGAGUGUUGCGCGCAAGCAAACAUUACCAUCGCUCGCUCUCGCUCUCGCUCUCGAGUCUCGUCAAACCUUGGAGGAAGAUUGCCUUGGACUGGGCACUGGACUUGCUGAAUUUCUCAACCUAAAGGCAACAAUCUUGCUGUCUAUU
RNAcentral lists this long non-coding RNA (2452 nucleotides) under Aquilegia coerulea. Its description in RNAcentral is "long non-coding RNA (ACOE_LNC001251)". The record is from RNAcentral. Lineage: Eukaryota; Viridiplantae; Streptophyta; Magnoliopsida; Ranunculales; Ranunculaceae.